Molecule: transfer RNA, 64 nt
Filed under: Trigonopterus porg
Lineage: Eukaryota; Metazoa; Arthropoda; Insecta; Coleoptera; Curculionidae
Description: tRNA-Phe
Source: RNAcentral
AUUUAAAUAGCUUAUAUAGAGCAUAGUGUUGAAGACACUGAGGAGAUUAAACAAUUUUUAAAUA